RNAcentral lists this transfer RNA (75 nucleotides) under Rhodella violacea. It matches the Rfam family "tRNA". Rfam says of the family: Transfer RNA (tRNA) molecules are approximately 80 nucleotides in length. Lineage: Eukaryota; Rhodophyta; Rhodellophyceae; Rhodellales; Rhodellaceae. The record is from RNAcentral.
UCAUGGCCGAGUUGGUCUAAGGCGCUGGAUUAAGGCUCCAGUCCGCAAGGGCGUGGGUUCAAAUCCCACUGAGGC